UACGUAGGGUCCGAGCGUUGUCCGGAAUUAUUGGGCGUAAAGAGCUCGUAGGCGGUUUGUCGCGUCUGCUGUGAAAUCCCGAGGCUCAACCUCGGGCCUGCAGUGGGUACGGGCAGACUGGAGUGCGGUAGGGGGAGACUGGAAUUCCUGGUGUAGCGGUGAAAUGCGCAGAUAUCAGGAGGAACACCGGUGGCGAAGGCGGGUCUCUGGGCCGAUACUGACGCUGAGGAGCGAAAGCGUGGGGAGCGAACAGG
Molecule: ribosomal RNA, 254 nt
Filed under: uncultured bacterium
Lineage: Bacteria
Description: partial 16S ribosomal RNA
Rfam family: Bacterial small subunit ribosomal RNA
Source: RNAcentral